AUUAUUAGUUAUUUUCUUUAAACUUAAAAAAAUUGGCGGUAUUUAAAUCUAAUUAGGGGAAUUUGUUUAUUAAUUGAUAAUCCUCAUGAAACCUUACUUUAUUUUUUAAUUUGUUUAUUGUCGUUAUCAAAAUAUUUUUUAAGAAUUAAUAAUUUUUAAUAUUUUUUAUAAAAAUUUAUUUCAGAUCAUAGUGCAGUUAUAUUAAAGUUUAAAUGAAUUACAAUAAAAUUUAUUUAUUAUGAAUUUUUAAUUGAAAAAUUAAAUUGAAAGUGGACUUAAUAGUAAAAUUAAAUUAUAUAAAUUAAUUUGAAUUAAGAAUUAAAU
This 324-nucleotide ribosomal RNA is filed under the name Trichiosoma sp. KNS. RNAcentral's name for it is "partial 12S ribosomal RNA". Lineage: Eukaryota; Metazoa; Arthropoda; Insecta; Hymenoptera; Cimbicidae. The record is from RNAcentral.